UGCAUUCACUACUGUAAGUCGCUCUGGAUAAGAGUGUCUACUAAAUGUUGUGUU
Molecule: non-coding RNA, 54 nt
Organism: Salmo salar (Atlantic salmon)
Lineage: Eukaryota; Metazoa; Chordata; Actinopteri; Salmoniformes; Salmonidae
Source: Rfam